RNAcentral lists this ribosomal RNA (397 nucleotides) under uncultured bacterium. Its description in RNAcentral is "bacterial SSU rRNA". It matches the Rfam family "Bacterial small subunit ribosomal RNA", at positions 328 to 724 of the family's 1533-position model. The record is from RNAcentral.
CCACCAGACUCCUACGGGAGGCAGCAGUGGGGUAUAUUGCACAAUGGGGGAAACCCUGAUGCAGCGACGCCGCGUGAGUGAAGAAGUAUUUCGGUAUGUAAAGCUCUAUCAGCAGGGAAGAGAUAGCGACCUUUGGGUCGCCAGACGGUACCUGACUAAGAAGCCCCGGCUAACUACGUGCCAGCAGCCGCGGUAAUACGUAGGGGGCAAGCGUUAUCCGGAUUUACUGGGUGUAAAGGGAGCGUAGGCGGCAGCACAAGUCUGAAGUGAAAUGCCGGGGCUUAACCCCGGAACUGCUUUGGAAACUGUGCAGCUAGAGUGCAGGAGAGGUAAGUGGAAUUCCUGGUGUAGCGGUGAAAUGCGUAGAUAUUAGGAGGAACACCAGUGGCGAAGGCGG